Podarcis lilfordi (Lilford's wall lizard) is the source of this 3104-nucleotide non-coding RNA. Lineage: Eukaryota; Metazoa; Chordata; Lepidosauria; Squamata; Lacertidae. The record is from the annotation of a GenBank genome assembly.
GUGGUCUGCCUAAUCUGAAUGUGAUCCCCCAUUCUUACCAAUUGGCUAUCAUAGAUUUGCAAGAUUGCUUCUUCUCCAUCCCCUUACAGGAGAAGGAUCAUAAAUUCUUUGCUUUCACUGUUCCUGUGUUAAAUAACAGCCAGCCCACGGGACGGUAUCAAUGGAAAGUCCUACCGCAAGGAAUGCUGAAUUCCCCUACCAUGUGCCAAUAUUAUGUGAAUCAAGCCCUCCUGCCUUUCCGUUUUCAGUAUCCACAUCAAUAAAUGUGUGGGAAUCUUUUGCAAAAACCCUCAAUGUUUCUUCCUUUUGCCUAACCCAGCAGGUAUCAAUAGGUGAAAUCCUUGGCUCUUGCCUUAUCCCUGUUUGCUAUGACCCUUUUGAUAUGCAAAAUGAUACCUGGUUUUAUUCAUCCCUACCCAAAAAUGAUUCUCUCUGCACCCUUGGUUAUUCCGGUUACCAUAACUGGGGUACCCAAGUGCGCCGACGCCCACCUCUGGCCAUUGAUUUGUUGACCCCAUACCUGGCUUCUUUUAAUGUCACUUGCGCCCGUAUGGUCAGUUGCACAAAAACCAACUGUGUGAAAACGGGCAAGGAUAAUUUUAACUGCUCUAAUUAUGUAAAUAUUUCCUAUGUAUAUAAAUAAAAUCAUUGUUGCCUACUUUGCGAAGUGGCAGCACGAACAGUAAAUAAUAGGGGAGAUGUGGGCAGACUUACUUUGGGCAUGCGCUGGAAAACCACGUAUCCCGAAGUAUUUUUGUCCCAUUCACCCUGAAAUCAUAUAGCAACAUCUUGCACACACAAAAAAAAAGAAAGAAAAAGAAAGGGGGAGAUGAUGGGAAGUUUUCCUUCUGCACAUGAGUCUGGCAAACCGCUCUAAGCUGAAGCAUUCUUUUCUUCACCCACCCUAGAAUGUUUAGUUCACAUUGAGUUCAUGAAACAUCGUACCCUGACCUGUUCUUAAUGCAUGGUUGACCACAUCUACGGAAUGUGAUAGUUAUGUUCUUUUAAGUCUUGCUAUAUCAAUCAAUAUUCAAUAAAAGGGACUCCCCGAGACAUGCUCGAGAGAUGCCUCCCAUAUGACACUUGUCAUUCGUCUGUCGUUUAUUUCAACCCAACAGGCUUUGUCUUGGAUGGAUUCUUCAUUAACUCAUUUUCAUUACCCUCCAAACAGACUUCCUAGAUGAUAAUAUCACAGAUGAUGCUCUGUGUGUUAAGACAAUUGUCAACAGUACAAAGGACAUGACUGCUUGGUGAGUAGCAUCAGCUCCUUUUUUUCUAGAAACAAACAAACAAACAAAUAAAAGAUGGCUGAAAAAUAUUACUUAAUCAGAACCUUCAGUAGAAACUCUAUUAGGUACAUUCAGGGGUACAUUCAGACCAGCACAUUGCAUAUUAAAUAGCAUUUAAGUGUCAUUUGAUUUUGCUUUAGGCCACUUUGUUGUGAAAAGUAGAGAGGAAAAUCACAUGAGAUAGGAAUAAGAACAAGCUGAACUCAGGGUGCUGAUAAUUUGUGAGAGCCUUCCCUGCUUGGCCUUCCCCAAAGGAGCAACAACCUGUACAGAAAGGAACAGCAACCAGCAUAUCACAAAGGAGCAGCAACCAGCUGCUAAGUGUAUAGGAUGCCAUCCUGUCCAGGGCUGGGGGGGGGGGGCAUCAGGUUGGAAGAAGAGACUAGGUGGGAAGGAGAGUUCAGGUGGGAAAGCCUGCCCCCCUGCAUCCAAAGGCAUCCACUCCACCACUAUCUUUUUCCAGAAAGACACAACUGGUUGGGUACGUCCCUCUUAUUGUGGUGUCUCCUUCUUUUUGCCUGAUGUCCUGCCACCAUGAAAGCCCCAGAUUGCUCUGGAUCACCAUGGCUUUGUCAACCCGACUCGAGCAAUGGCUGGAUCUCCCCCCCCCCCAUUGGCCUUGACUUGUUUGGGUGCACAGCUGUAGCACUUUGUGGCCAGUCUUCCUGUUGCCAAAUUCAGUCUUGCAGAACUAUUUUCUUUUAAUAACUCUGUAUGCAAAAUGCAAAAUAACCAAUGUGUUUCGUCCACCCAUUAGGCCACUCUAUGAGAAAUACUGUGAUGAAGGUCGGGUAAAUCGUUAUUAUAUCAAGUGCCUUUUUGGUGGAGUUACACAAAGAAGAAAGUUUUUGCUUCGGAACCUGCCUUGACUUCUAUAGAGGGUUGCAUUGUCUCAGGUUUGGUCUGACAAUGUGCUUCACUUCAGAGCCUCAUCUCUUCUCAUUUUGUAAAGCUUUGGAUCCCCCACCCCACCCCCAUGAAACCAACAAACACCAACCUCAUCUGUAAUUUUUGUCAGACAAGGAUGAAAUCUGUUCACUUCCUGACAGGUUUGAGCCUUAAAAGGUACGCUCUCUCCUAAGGUCCAGUCUUACUUAAGAAGCUGAACCCCUUGAAGGGACCCCAUUUUUAUUCCCCGCUUACUGCAGGGCUCUACAUAGGGCUACCUUUGAAGAUGACUUGGAAACUGCAACUAAUUCAGAAUGCGACAGCUAGACUGGUGACUGGGAGUGGCCGCUGGGACCAUAUAGCACUAAAGGAUCUCCACUGGCCCCCAGUAAAUUUCCAAGCACAAUUCAAAGUGUUGGUGCUCGUUAUAUAUCAUCUCCCUUUUUUUUUAUAAUACUACAUUCCGAACUGAAAAAAUAUAUAUUUAAAAUGACGUUUGUUCAAAAACCAGAAGCAUUUUUACUAGGUAUUUCUGAUCAAGGACUGCCGAACGAGAAAUGGAAAAUAUUCAUGUAUGCGACAACAGCGGCAAGAAUCCUAAUAGCACAAAACUGGAAGACUGGAGAAAUACCUUCAAAAGCACAAUGGCAGGAAAAAUUGAUGACCUAUGCGGAAUUAGCAAAGCUAACGGAUAAGCUACAUGAAAAAGACAGUGAUUUUAAAAAAGAAUGGGAACCUUUCAUAAACUAUCUGCAGAAACAACUGAAAGAAAUGGACUCGGUAGCAGGAUUUGAAUAAACAUUAACAACUUUACUUAACAAAAUACAUGAAUAACAUUGUAAUAACGUUUUGACAGAUAAGGAAUAGCAGAUUGUAUCAUUUAAUGUAACAAACCAGAGGGGAAGCUGAAGGAAGUCAAUGGGAAGG